ACGCGAAGAAACCUUACCCAGGCUUGACAUGCACAGGAAUAUAGCAGAGAUGUUAUAGCUCUUCGGAGUCUGUGCACAGGUGCUGCAUGGCUGUCGUCAGCUCGUGCCGUGAGGUGUUGGGUUAAGUCCCGCAACGAGCGCAACCCUUAUCAUUAGUUGCCAACAUUUAAGGUGGGAACUCUAAUGAGACUGCCCAGGUUAACUGGGAGGAAGGUGAGGAUGACGUCAAGUCCGCAUGGCCCUUAUGCCUGGGGCUACACACGUGCUACAAUGGUCGGUACAGAAGGCAGCGAAGCCGCGAGGUGGAGCAAAUCCGAUAAAGCCGGCCCCAGUUCAGAUUGUAGUCUGCAACUCGACUACAUGAAGAUGGAAUUGCUAGUAAUGGCGAGUCAGCAACAUCGCCGUGAAUACGUUCCCGGGUCUUGUACACACCG
RNAcentral lists this ribosomal RNA (434 nucleotides) under uncultured bacterium. RNAcentral describes it as "bacterial SSU rRNA". It matches the Rfam family "Bacterial small subunit ribosomal RNA", at positions 959 to 1392 of the family's 1533-position model. The record is from RNAcentral.